GUGUGAGGAGAGAGGGUUGAACAGAGCCUGUAAGAGCAAGUCACUGUGUAGAUGUGCUGCCUUGGAGUUAUCUUCUGUGGCUUCCUUCUGCACUUGGGAAAUCCUCUGAAGUUGUGUUUGUGUGCAGCAUGCCAAUGUUGGUCUUGCCUGCAGGAGCACCUUCACUGUAUGGCUGUUCCCAUUAAAGAUGCACAUGGCUACGGGUGUACCACAGGUACAGCGCUGCUUACAUCUGUCAUCUCUCCUUGUGUUUCCCAUUCUCCUCUGAGAGAUGCUUCCUCUGUCUCUGAGUUAGACGCAAUUGAGUGCACUGAAGAAAGAUGCAGGGAAAUCAGUGGUGCAGUCAGCAGCUGCAUCACGUCCUGGCAGGAAUGAUGGCUGCACUCUGCAUGUCUCGGAACAGGAGGUCUGAGCACCGCUCUCCUCCCUCAUCGCAUUCAUCACAGUGCUCAGUGCAUUAGAAGUACUGAAAAGUGCUGACUGCAAAAGUAAUGGAAAUCCCCAGCAGAGCAGAGCUGAAGAAGACGGUGACGUAAACAGUACAGGAAAUCUAUGAGGGGCUUUUGAAGUGAGGGGGAAAACGAUUUCUCUCUUCCAAAGAGGGAAAUGUUUCUGGAUAAUUUCCGCUGUCAUCUGGCACUCUCCAGCUCUAAACUAAACAUCAGGUUUGAAAACCAUCCCCCUUAAUUACUCCAUUAUAUUCCUUCUGUUUUCUUCACCAGCUCUGUUGAGCCAAUACCGUCUAUAUUAACACACUAAUAUUUAAGCCCAACUGUGGCUUGUGCUAUGGAAAGAAAAAGGACCGUAGGCAUUGGCAGCAGAUGAGCCCUGCCCUCGGGGACAGGUGGGUGAGAUAUGCAGGGUGGUGCCACUCCUCUAUCUUCACACCGCCUGUACUUCCUGAGGGCACCCCGUGUUCUCCCACUCGAGCUGAACAGAGCGGGUGCUGUGGGUACCCUCUUGGAGGAAGAAUCACCAGUGUGAUGGCUGCACGAGGCUCACCUCUUCAAGGCAUCUCUGCUGCUGGACAUGAGCCCUGUCCUGAGCUUCUGCAGAGGUACAGAAGACCUCUCUGCUGUGUUUCAAGAGAGAAGCUAUCUGAAAGAGCAAUGCAAAAAUAUAUGGGACUUAUAUUAGGAAAAUAUGGGGGG
Gallus gallus (chicken) is the source of this 1151-nucleotide long non-coding RNA. The record is from Ensembl. NCBI's taxonomy places the organism in Eukaryota, Metazoa, Chordata, Aves, Galliformes, Phasianidae.